This 1041-nucleotide ribosomal RNA is filed under the name Aspicilia reptans. RNAcentral's name for it is "partial large subunit ribosomal RNA". It matches the Rfam family "Eukaryotic large subunit ribosomal RNA", at positions 247 to 1027 of the family's 3401-position model. The record is from RNAcentral. Lineage: Eukaryota; Fungi; Ascomycota; Lecanoromycetes; Pertusariales; Megasporaceae.
UGAAACCCCUUCGACGAGUCGAGUUGUUUGGGAAUGCAGCUCAAAAUGGGUGGUAAAUUUCAUCUAAAGCUAAAUACCGGCCAGAGACCGAUAGCGCACAAGUAGAGUGAUCGAAAGAUGAAAAGCACUUUGGAAAGAGAGUUAAACAGUACGUGAAAUUGUUGAAAGGGAAGCGCUUGCAAUCAGACUUGCUCGCGGGUGAUCAACCCCCCUUCGCGGGAGGUGCACUCGCCCGCGAUCAGGCCAGCAUCGGUUUCGACGGGCGGAUAAAGGCUCCAGGAAUGUAGCUCCCUUUCGGGGGAGUGUUAUAGCCUGGGGUGCCAUGCGCCCAGUCGGGACCGAGGACCGCGCUUCGGCUAGGAUGCUGGCGUAAUGGUUGUCAGCGACCCGUCUUGAAACACGGACCAAGGAGUCUAACAUCUAUGCGAGUGUUUGGGUGGUCAAACCCCGGCGCGGAAUGAAAGUGAACGGAGGUGGGAGCCUCUUUCGGGGGGCGCACCAUCGACCGAUCCAGAUGUCUUCGGAUGGAUUUGAGUAGGAGCAUAGCUGUUGGGACCCGAAAGAUGGUGAACUAUGCCCGGAUAGGGUGAAGCCAGAGGAAACUCUGGUGGAGGCUCGCAGCGGUUCUGACGUGCAAAUCGAUCGUCAAAUCUGGGUAUAGGGGCGAAAGGCAAGCAAACCCCGGUGGAUUUCUUUGGAGUGAUAGUAUGCUAACAGUAUUUACAGACUAAUCGAACCAUCUAGUAAACCACUACUAGAGACACUGAACAGAAGAGAGGCGGUAACACGCCUUGGUAGUCCCCCCGUUCUUGGGGGGGCCACACUGCCGGUCUCCGGGGACCCNUGUUUCUUCAGGCUACCCGCACUGAGCUUCGGCUCAGUCACAGACUAAGUGGCGGUGGCCGCGGGAAGCCUGCGGUUAGGAUAUAGUCGGCGGGACCUCUGACGGGGUGCCCGGUACGUGAGCUGGUUUCAGCCGAAGUUUCCCUCAGGAUAGCAGUAACGUUUUCAGUUUUAUGAGGUAAAGCGAAUGAUUAGAGG